This is a small nuclear RNA of Octopus sinensis (East Asian common octopus), 159 nucleotides long. RefSeq annotates it as U1 spliceosomal RNA. NCBI's taxonomy places the organism in Eukaryota, Metazoa, Mollusca, Cephalopoda, Octopoda, Octopodidae. The record is from RefSeq and is a predicted model, not a curated record. The transcript has a single exon.
UGACUGUGGCACGGGAGUUAACCAUGACCCUUUUAGGUGGUUCUCCCAAAGUGAGGCCUUUCAUUGCACUCCGGUUGGGUUGACCUUUGCGAUCGCCUCAAAUGCGGGAGACUCAGGUACACUAUUUCUAAGUAUGAGGCCUGCGUUCGCACUCAUCAC